CAGUAGCCGCGGUAAUACAGAGGGUGCGAGCGUUAAUCGGAUUUACUGGGCGUAAAGCGUGCGUAGGCGGCUUCUUAAGUCGGAUGUGAAAUCCCUGAGCUUAACUUAGGAAUUGCAUUCGAUACUGGGAAGCUAGAGUAUGGGAGAGGAUAGUAGAAUUCCAGGUGUAGCGGUGAAAUGCGUAGAGAUCUGGAGGAAUACCGAUGGCGAAGGCAGCCAUCUGGCCUAAUACUGACGCUGAGGUACGAAAGCAUGGGGAGCAAACAGGAUUAGAUACCCGAGUAGUCCCUGUCUCUUAUAA
This 301-nucleotide ribosomal RNA is filed under the name uncultured bacterium. RNAcentral describes it as "partial 16S ribosomal RNA". It matches the Rfam family "Bacterial small subunit ribosomal RNA", at positions 509 to 809 of the family's 1533-position model. The record is from RNAcentral.